GGAUAUUUACUUGCUCGGAGGAACCAUCACUAAUCCAGAUGGAGUGGUAUCAUCAACAAAUGAAAUUCACAAAUUAAGCAUCGCAAAGAUGAAAUGGAAAGUACCGCUGUAUGUCGGCAUCCCUCCCUCCAGACGUCACAGACACACGGCUUUCAUCGUCCACAGUCAUAUUUAUGUGUUUGGAGGCAAAAAUGAAGAACAAGAUUUUAAUGACUUGAAAAUAAUGAAGUUAAUAAACCCCUCAGAGAGACAGCCAGGUAAGUAACG
This 267-nucleotide long non-coding RNA is filed under the name Sinocyclocheilus grahami. RNAcentral describes it as "lncRNA (ENSSGRG00000018321.1)". The record is from RNAcentral. Lineage: Eukaryota; Metazoa; Chordata; Actinopteri; Cypriniformes; Cyprinidae.